CAGUGCACUUGCAGAAUGCAGGGUUAUGUACAUGUUUUGAAGUUUAGGCAGCCUGUGGUUAGUGGAAAAAUAGGCUAGGGCGUAUUACUUUCAAUUUAUGCCAAAAGUGAUUAUUCAAUAGUGUAUAUUCAGUUAAGUCUGAGCAUGCAGUUUUAAUUAAUAUCUACUGAUACUGAUAGUUUAUUUAAGACUGGAUUUAAUACCUACCUAUGUUAAGUAUAAUCAUCAGAUAGGCUAUAGGUAUACAAUGGCAUUUGCAUUUAUAAUUCAAACAUUUGACUCAGAAGAACCAGAACUAGCUUAUUAUAGGUUUUAUUCUGCUUGGUCAAAAGAGCCUAUUGCCACAGGCCUACCGUCUCAAAAUAAAGAAGAGAGCCCUAGCUCAUUUGUAUUUGAAUCAAACAGUGAAAAAAAAGAAAUUGUGUCUUUAAUAGUGAAGAAAAACCACAUGCUUUAUUCAUUAAAACUCAAACAGUCAUUGAUUCCAAUACAAAAUCAAGAUAUGAAGACAUUGAUCAAAGGAUGUUAUACAGAAACAAGUUGGAAGUCAGAAAGGUUUACAGUAGUUUGGGAAGGUGUACCAGGUAUUGGAUUUUCAUUGGUUUGUGAAGAGGAUGUAAACAUUUCCCAAGCUCAGAUGAUUCUUGAUUUACUGGUGUCUGAGAUGGAAAAAUAUUUACAAAUUGUUUCAUAUCCACUUAUUACCCCUAAAACGUUUGAUUCUGUUGCAUUAAUAGUUGACACAUUUCUUCCUGGUGGUCAGUUACUAUUCCUAAACAGCAGCUUGAUCAAAUCUUUAGAAAAACUGUUGGAGUCUGAUCUUUAACGCACAACUAGGCUACUAAAAAAGCAAUUACAAACCGAAGUUGUCAAGAAGCCAUGAAGUUAAGUAACUCAGCAAAGGACACUUGUAAGUUGUAAGCUGUGAACCUAUGAUUUAUUAUUUUACUCACCAGAGAAAUGUAUCAAACCUAUUAUUUAUUAAAUUAUCUAGAUCUAUAA
Molecule: long non-coding RNA, 1002 nt
Organism: Macrosteles quadrilineatus (aster leafhopper)
Lineage: Eukaryota; Metazoa; Arthropoda; Insecta; Hemiptera; Cicadellidae
Exons: 2
Source: RefSeq, a predicted model, not a curated record